AAAGUUUGACGAACAAUCGCUGGAGAUUAUAUCUCGAGAGGAAAGUCCGGGCUCCACAGGGCAGGGUGCUGGAUAACGUCCAGUCAGCGCGAGUUGAAGGAUAGUGCCACAGAAAUGGACCGCCGAUGGCAUACCUAUGUAUGCACAGGUAAGGGUGGAACCGUGGUGUAAGAGACCACGAGGAUUUAUGGUGACAUAUUUCCUGGUAAACCCCACUUGGAGCAAGACCUAAUGAAACGCAGUGAUGACUAUCACAACCUUAGCCCGAGGUGCGUUUAGGUUGGUCGCUUGAGCUGUAUAGUAAUAUACAGCCUAGAUAGAUGAUUGUUACUUCAUUGGUGGGAGGGGUGACACCCGUUAAUACCACUGGAAGGUACAGAACCCGGCUUAUGGCAAACUUUCUAA
Molecule: RNase P RNA, 405 nt
Filed under: Chengkuizengella axinellae
Lineage: Bacteria; Bacillati; Bacillota; Bacilli; Caryophanales; Paenibacillaceae
Description: RNase P RNA component class A
Rfam family: Bacterial RNase P class A
About the family: Ribonuclease P (RNase P) is a ubiquitous endoribonuclease, found in archaea, bacteria and eukarya as well as chloroplasts and mitochondria.
Source: RNAcentral